GACGAACGCUGGCGGCGUGCUUAACACAUGCAAGUCGAACGGAAAGGCCCUGCUUUUGUGGGGUGCUCGAUUGGCGAACGGGUGAGUAACACGUGAGUAACCUGCCCUUGACUUUGGGAUAACUUCAGGAAACUGGGGCUAAUACCGGAUAGGAGCUCCUGCUGCAUGGUGGGGGUUGGAAAGUUUCGGCGGUUGGGGCUGGACUCGCGGCUUAUCAGCUUGUUGGUGGGGUAGUGGCUUACCAAGGGUGUGACGGGUAGCCGGCAUGGGAGGGGAGACGGGCACAAUGGUACUGAGGUACGGAGCAGUAUCGAAUGGGAGGCAGUGGGGGGGAGUAUUGCACAAUGGGCGGGAGCGUGAUGCAGCAGCGCCGCGUGCGGGAUGACGGCCUUCGGGUGGUAAACCGAUUUCGAAGGUGACGAAGAGUGAGUGACGGUAAUGGGUAAAGAAGCACCGGCUAACUACGUG
This 468-nucleotide ribosomal RNA is filed under the name uncultured bacterium. RNAcentral's name for it is "partial 16S ribosomal RNA". It matches the Rfam family "Bacterial small subunit ribosomal RNA", at positions 28 to 507 of the family's 1533-position model. The record is from RNAcentral.